This 253-nucleotide ribosomal RNA is filed under the name uncultured bacterium. RNAcentral describes it as "partial 16S ribosomal RNA". It matches the Rfam family "Bacterial small subunit ribosomal RNA", at positions 524 to 776 of the family's 1533-position model. The record is from RNAcentral.
UACGUAGGGACCAAGCGUUGUUCGGAUUUACUGGGCGUAAAGCGCACGUAGGCGGAUAUUUAAGUCAGGGGUGAAAUCCCGGGGCUCAACCCCGGAACUGCCUUUGAUACUGGGUAUCUGGAGGUCGAGAGAGGCGAGUGGAAUUCCGAGUGUAGAGGUGAAAUUCGUAGAUAUUCGGAGGAACACCAGUGGCGAAGGCGGCUCGCUGGCUCGAUACUGACGCUGAGGUGCGAAAGCGUGGGGAGCAAACAGG